Molecule: ribosomal RNA, 372 nt
Filed under: uncultured organism
Description: partial 16S ribosomal RNA
Rfam family: Bacterial small subunit ribosomal RNA
Source: RNAcentral
GUAGGUGGCAAGCGUUGUCCGGAAUUAUUGGGCGUAAAGCGCGCGCAGGCGGUUCUUUAAGUCUGAUGUGAAAGCCCACGGCUCAACCGUGGAGGGUCAUUGGAAACUGGAGAACUUGAGUACAGAAGAGGAAAGCGGAGUUCCACGUGUAGCGGUGAAAUGCGUAGAGAUGUGGAGGAACACCAGUGGCGAAGGCGGCUUUCUGGUCUGUAACUGACGCUGAGGCGCGAAAGCGUGGGGAGCAAACAGGGAUUAGAUACCCUGGUAGCCCACGCCGUAAACGAUGAGUGCUAAGGGUUAGGGGGUUUCCCGCCCCUUAGUGCUGCAGCUAACGCAUUAAGCACUCCGCCUGGGGAUACGGCCGCAAGGCUG